CGUCGGCGGUGCGCAGGCCGUGGCGAUGUUCGCCUACGGUGCGGACGGCACGGAGCCGCAGGACGGCGACGUGCUGUGCGAGCCGGUCGACGUCGU
This 96-nucleotide transfer RNA is filed under the name Sediminihabitans luteus. RNAcentral's name for it is "tRNA-Arg". The record is from RNAcentral. Lineage: Bacteria; Bacillati; Actinomycetota; Actinomycetes; Micrococcales; Cellulomonadaceae.